This 41-nucleotide ribosomal RNA is filed under the name Bothrogonia shuana. RNAcentral describes it as "partial 5.8S ribosomal RNA". The record is from RNAcentral. Lineage: Eukaryota; Metazoa; Arthropoda; Insecta; Hemiptera; Cicadellidae.
UGCGGCCCUGGGAUACUAUUCCAAGGGCUAUGCCGGUCUGA